CGGAGGUGUCAGUCGUGCCGGCACUCCGGUACCGAUUGGCCGCCGCGGCCCAGGCAGCAGUCUGGCUUAGCUGAAGAGCCAUCUGUGCCUGUUCCAGCUGCCCCUAGGGACUCUCACAUGACCAGUGCUCCGUAGUCUUGCUUCAUGGUGCUUGGAGAGAACAGCUCUGUGGCCAUUCCACCUUGCCCAUACAGCUUUUCCGUGGGGAGCAAGGAAGACAAGUUUUGGCGUAACAUGCAGGGAAGACAACUUGCAAAGGCUGAUCUGAAGAGGAUAACAGGAAGGUCCAGUAUCUGAACUGCUACAAAAGUGAAAUAUAUGGUGGCUCAGACAGGAAUGCAGAGCCAUGGAAAUAAAGCAGCUCAAAUGGAGAACAGCACAACUAAAGCAAAACCUUCACAUGGGGUGCAGUGGUAAAUCUGCCCUACUGCUUCCUCCAAUAAAGGGUCAUUUCCUUUUCA
Long non-coding RNA from Passer domesticus (house sparrow), 461 nucleotides. RefSeq lists it as uncharacterized. The record is from RefSeq and is a predicted model, not a curated record. Lineage: Eukaryota; Metazoa; Chordata; Aves; Passeriformes; Passeridae. The transcript is spliced from 2 exons.